Solanum pennellii is the source of this 522-nucleotide long non-coding RNA. RefSeq lists it as uncharacterized. Lineage: Eukaryota; Viridiplantae; Streptophyta; Magnoliopsida; Solanales; Solanaceae. The transcript has 2 exons. The record is from RefSeq and is a predicted model, not a curated record.
ACGUGACACACCCAAGAAUUAGACAGCCCAAUACUAGUUUUGCUUAAGAUUCAGGUUGAAUAGAACACAUGUGAAUAAAUGCCUUCACAACAAAUUUAUCAUUCACAUCAAAUGUAUGACUUUGAUGAGGAACUUAUGCAAUGCCUUCACAACAUCAGCAGGGACUACUUGCUUUUCAGCCAUCAAAACAUCUGAAGUGACAACAUCACCUUGGACUACAAAGCGCUCCGUCCUCGCUAGAACCUUGAAUAACUCUGGACAGACAACUUUGCUGGAGAUCAUACUGAGCAAACUUUCGUUGUUGUCACAUAGAGACAACAACAUGGACACCACCAGAAACGUAAACUUAUCCAUAAGAAUAAUAUGCUCGAUUUGUUUUCUGUUACUUUGCUCCGACUUGUGCUCAGCAUAUUUGAGUCUUGUUCUUCAACAAGACAUCAAGCAAUCCAGUGCCUAACUCAAAGCUAAUUGUUCUCUGUGCAUACCCAAGCAUAUCUAUAUAAAAGAAACAUAAGUUUAAUA